This 864-nucleotide long non-coding RNA is filed under the name Homo sapiens (human). RNAcentral describes it as "HSALNT0212857". The record is from RNAcentral. Lineage: Eukaryota; Metazoa; Chordata; Mammalia; Primates; Hominidae.
GCUGCCUCUAAACUACCCGUCAGGAAAAAUAAAAUCUAUAAGGUAAUCGUAGUCUAGGAGCCAUCAAUCCCCAAAUGCUUCUCUUAGAAAACGAAUGCCAACAAUUUAGCUAAACAUCUUCCUUGGAAGUGAGCCAUUUCCCAUGUCUCUCUGUUCUCCAAACCGCGAUGAAAUUUCAACCUGCCCAACACGAUUACUGGUCCACCUAGAAAUGCCGUGGAGCGAUUUAAGAGCCUCGGAAAUUUCCUUUAAGACUAGUCUCACUCUGUUGCCCAGGCUGGAGUGCAGUGGCGCGAUCUCAGCUUACUUCAGCCUCCGCCUCCCGGUUUCAAGUGAAUUCUCCAGCCUCAACUUCACAAGUAGCUGGGAUUACAGGGCAUUCAAGCAGCCCUGAGGAGAGGUCCACAUGGUGAGCCACUGAGGGCCUUGCCAAGAGCCAGCACCAACGGUCCAGGUUUGGAGUGUACCACCUUGGAAGUGAAUCUUCCAGUCCAGUCAAGCCUUCAGAUGACUUCAGAACCGUCCAUGUAAGCCACUCUUGGAUUCCUGACCCACAGAAACUGUUGGAGCUGCCAAUUUGCAGGAAAUAGAGGAGAGAAGCAUCUGUUGAACUGCACCAUGAGUAUACACUCAGCAAAGGCCAAACUGUGGAAAAUGAUACAGGUCAAACAGCCUGGAUUCUUUAACAGUGAUGUUUCUGAAGCACCAAUGAAAAUGAAGUCCUGAAGUCCUGUGCUCAAUAUGAAAUGUUGGAAGUUAGAAGAAAAAAACAAAACUUGGAUCCAAUCUCAAGGCACUUUUUGUUUAAUGGGAAGAAGUGGAUUAUUUUAAAAGCUACAAAUAAAGUUACAUAAAAGUAGCAAA